GACGAACGCUGGCGGCGUGCUUAACACAUGUAAGCCGAACGCUGAAGCUCAGCUUUUGUUGGGUGGAUGAGUGGCGAACGGGUGAGUAACACGUGAGUAACCUGCCUCCUUCUUUGGGAUAACGCCCGGAAACGGGUGCUAAUACUGGAUAUUCACUGGUCUUCGCAUGGGGGUUGGUGGAAAGGGUUUUUCUGGUGGGGGAUGGGCUCGCGGCCUAUCAGCUUGUUGGUGGGGUGAUGGCCUACCAAGGCUUUGACGGGUAGCCGGCCUGAGAGGGUGACCGGUCACAGUGGGACUGAGAUACGGCCCAGACUCCGACGGGAGGCAGCAGUGGGGAAUAUUGCACAAUGGGCGCAAGCCUGAUGCAGCGACGCCGCGUGAGGGAUGGAGGCCUUCGGGUUGUGAACCUCUUUCGCUCAUGGUCAAGCCGCAACAAUGGUUGUGGUGAGGGUAGUGGGUAAAGAAGCGCCGGCUAACUACGUG
This 483-nucleotide ribosomal RNA is filed under the name uncultured bacterium. RNAcentral's name for it is "partial 16S ribosomal RNA". It matches the Rfam family "Bacterial small subunit ribosomal RNA", at positions 28 to 507 of the family's 1533-position model. The record is from RNAcentral.